Molecule: small nuclear RNA, 118 nt
Filed under: Microcebus murinus (gray mouse lemur)
Lineage: Eukaryota; Metazoa; Chordata; Mammalia; Primates; Cheirogaleidae
Description: U5 spliceosomal RNA (ENSMICG00000024264.3)
Rfam family: U5 spliceosomal RNA
About the family: U5 RNA is a component of both types of known spliceosome. The precise function of this molecule is unknown, though it is known that the 5' loop is required for splice site selection and p220 binding, and that both the 3' stem-loop and the Sm site are important for Sm protein binding and cap methylation.
Source: RNAcentral
AAACUUAUCGUUUCUCUUCAGAUCAUAUAAAUCACUCACCUUUUACUAAAGAUUUCUGUGGAGAGGAACAAUUCUAAGUCUUAAAUCACUUUUUUUGAGGCCUUGCGUUUGCAGGGAA